AUUCUUACCUGGCAGGGGAGAUGCAUGAUCAGGAAUGGGUUUUCCCAGGGCGAGGCUCAUCCCUUGCACUCCAUAGGUGGCUUACCCUGUGAUUUCCCCAAAUGCGGAAACUCGACUGCAUAAUUUGUGAUAGUGAGGAAGUGCAUUCCUGCUUUCCCCU
RNAcentral lists this small nuclear RNA (160 nucleotides) under Macaca nemestrina (pig-tailed macaque). Its description in RNAcentral is "U1 spliceosomal RNA (ENSMNEG00000012213.1)". It matches the Rfam family "U1 spliceosomal RNA". Rfam says of the family: U1 is a small nuclear RNA (snRNA) component of the spliceosome (involved in pre-mRNA splicing). Its 5' end forms complementary base pairs with the 5' splice junction, thus defining the 5' donor site of an intron. There are significant differences in sequence and secondary structure between metazoan and yeast U1 snRNAs, the latter being much longer (568 nucleotides as compared to 164 nucleotides in human). Lineage: Eukaryota; Metazoa; Chordata; Mammalia; Primates; Cercopithecidae. The record is from RNAcentral.